This 18-nucleotide unclassified non-coding RNA is filed under the name Desulfonema ishimotonii. Its description in RNAcentral is "SS target RNA (5'-R(P*AP*GP*CP*UP*UP*GP*GP*UP*UP*CP*AP*AP*AP*GP*AP*AP*CP*G)-3') from Desulfonema ishimotonii (PDB 8D1V, chain N)". The record is from RNAcentral. Lineage: Bacteria; Pseudomonadati; Thermodesulfobacteriota; Desulfobacteria; Desulfobacterales; Desulfococcaceae.
AGCUUGGUUCAAAGAACG